Molecule: transfer RNA, 175 nt
Filed under: uncultured archaeon A07HB70
Lineage: Archaea
Rfam family: tRNA
About the family: Transfer RNA (tRNA) molecules are approximately 80 nucleotides in length. Their secondary structure includes four short double-helical elements and three loops (D, anti-codon, and T loops).
Source: Rfam by way of RNAcentral
GGGGUUGUGGCCCAGCCAGGCAGGGCGACUGACUCCAGAGGCCACGCCCGGUGACGAACUCCAGACUGAUAUACCGAGCCGCCGUCUGAUCAACGGUCGGCGACGACGACCCUCUGGAGGACCGAGGCAGACCGGAGAUAUCAGUCAAUCGGGGGUUCAAAUCCCUCCAACCCCA